GAAUCCAAAAGCUUGAUGCGGUCAGGAAAACAAGAUCUGGGCACAAAAAAAGACUGGACCGUAGCAGCAAGAUUUGGGCCGUAGCAUAGGAAUGAAUGUUUUUGUAAUUUUUUUUAUUUUUCUGUGUAUUUGAUGGGCUUGUGUCAGCCCAAUGUCACUGUUAGUUUUUUUUAUUUUUCUGGUUUGUAAAGGGCCUCUUAUAAAGUCCAAGUUUGGAAGAGUCCUUGGUGCUCUUUCCAUUCUUGGCAACCUUUCUUGAUUGCUUUAUUUUAAUUUUAGCAUAGCUAGACAUAGGAGUAUAAUUUGAUUGUCUUUGCAUGUGUUUGAUUUUCACGUGUAGGUG
This 343-nucleotide long non-coding RNA is filed under the name Vigna radiata. RNAcentral's name for it is "long non-coding RNA (VRAD_LNC004619)". The record is from RNAcentral. Lineage: Eukaryota; Viridiplantae; Streptophyta; Magnoliopsida; Fabales; Fabaceae.